AUGAACGCUGGCGACGUGGAUAAGGCAUGCAAGUCAAGGGGGCCCCGAGAGCAAUCGAGGGGCAACCGGCAGACGAGGUAGUAACACGUGAGUACAUACUCCAAAGUCAGGGAUAGCCCAUCGAAAGAUGGGGUAAUACUUGAUGGUCCCGCAAGGGUAAAGAUUUAUCGCUUUGGAAGUGGCUCGCGAAGUAUCAGGUAGUUGGUAAGGUAACGGCUUACCAAGCCUAUGACGCUUAGAGGAGCUGAGAGGCUGACCCUCACCGAUAGCACUGAGACACGGGCUAUACACCUACGGGUGGCUGCAGCCGAGAAUAUUCGACAAUGGACGAAAGUCUGAUCGAGCGACGUCGCGUGGUGGAAGAAGGCCUUCGGGCCGUAAACACCUUUUAUGAGGGAGAUAGUUGGAUUCAUCCAACACGAUAGUACUUCAUGAAUAAGGGGUUGCUAACUCUGU
RNAcentral lists this ribosomal RNA (456 nucleotides) under uncultured bacterium. RNAcentral's name for it is "bacterial SSU rRNA". It matches the Rfam family "Bacterial small subunit ribosomal RNA", at positions 29 to 506 of the family's 1533-position model. The record is from RNAcentral.